CCUUUGGAGAGCUAAACAAACUCAAGUAGCUUAAUUUAUUAGUAAAAGAGAGUUCGUAGAAGAAGGAA
RNAcentral lists this non-coding RNA (68 nucleotides) under unclassified sequences. RNAcentral's name for it is "RAGATH-18 RNA". It matches the Rfam family "RAGATH-18 RNA". From Rfam's summary of the family: Actinobacteria, Firmicutes, Fusobacteria, Thermotogae (1 example). The record is from Rfam by way of RNAcentral.